This is a long non-coding RNA of Rhipicephalus sanguineus (brown dog tick), 489 nucleotides long. RefSeq lists it as uncharacterized. The transcript has 5 exons. The record is from RefSeq and is a predicted model, not a curated record. NCBI's taxonomy places the organism in Eukaryota, Metazoa, Arthropoda, Arachnida, Ixodida, Ixodidae.
UAGGCGAACAAAGAUAUCUGCGAGGUAUAUGUUCUAGUUUAUCCAAGGAGGCUUCAGCGCACGAUUCCAAGGCACGUUGCGCGUAGUUAGCCAAGAACUACUGCAACAGCGGGCGUCGUUCAAUACAGCAGGAUUACCCAGUGCUUUCGGAAACGACAGAGGGCGAUCAUCUGCCAUUGGAUUAGAAUAAUGGAAUAUACAAAAUUUUGUCUCUGGCUCACGUGCCUUUUCGCCCUUUUCUGCCUUGGAGAACAAAUACAUGGUUUUGGAUUUAUAUUUAAGCGAAAGGCCUCUCGGAAGACUGUAAGAAGGUUGCUGCAAGACAAAGAAGUGCUCCUUAUAAGCCGCGGCAUAUAUGGACGACCAGAUUAUCCUAUGUGCGUGCAAUCACGCUCACUUGGAUUAUAUGAACAGAUAAUUCGCGCCAAUUUCAGCUAUUAUGAAAAAGAUUUACAGGACUUGAGGACACAAGGACACAGGAUAUAUCGG